GUGAGGAAUUUUCCGCAAUGGGCGAAAGCCUGACGGAGCAAUGCCGCGUGAAGGAUGAAGGCCUAUGGGUUGUAAACUUCUUUUCUCAGAAAAGAAUUAUGACGGUAUCUGAGGAAUAAGCAUCGGCUAACUCUGUGCCAGCAGCCGCGGUAAGACAGAGGAUGCAAGCGUUAUCCGGAAUGAUUGGGCGUAAAGCGUCUGUAGGUUGUUUAAAAAGUAUUCUGUCAAAGAUUAGGGCUUAACCCUAGAUAGGCAGAAUAAACUUUUAAGCUAGAGUUUGGUAGAGGCAGAGGGAAUUCCCGGUGGAGCGGUGAAAUGCGUAGAUAUCGGGAGGAACACCAAAAGCGAAGGCACUCUGCUGGGCCAAUACUAACACUGAGAGACGAAAGCGAGGGGAGCAAAUGGGAUUAGAAACCCUAGUAGUCC
RNAcentral lists this ribosomal RNA (426 nucleotides) under uncultured bacterium. RNAcentral describes it as "partial 16S ribosomal RNA". It matches the Rfam family "Bacterial small subunit ribosomal RNA", at positions 354 to 796 of the family's 1533-position model. The record is from RNAcentral.